RNAcentral lists this long non-coding RNA (1051 nucleotides) under Manihot esculenta (cassava). Its description in RNAcentral is "long non-coding RNA (MESC_LNC004982)". The record is from RNAcentral. Lineage: Eukaryota; Viridiplantae; Streptophyta; Magnoliopsida; Malpighiales; Euphorbiaceae.
UUUGUCUAGCCACUGCAUUUAUGUUCAUUGUGUCCCGGAAGUGAGGUUGCAGAAGUUUGUAUAUUGGAUGAAGCACACUUAGAUGCCUAUUUGUUGCAAUCACAAAUGGCUCGAUCGCUGCAUGGGUGUGCAACCUAUGAAGAAAGUACAAAUCUUUAGAAAUCGAUCUCAAUUAAUUAAGUAAUUAAUUAUCUUUCUUCUGAUAGUCUAUUUUUGUUUGACAGAUUUCAUACCAGUGGCUGAUAAGCUGGUGAAUGCCAGAAUCAAUUACAGCCACAUAUGCUUUAGCCAGUUGCCAUAUGGAACCUUCAAUGCCAUGCUCAGCUGGUGUGCAUACUUUGCUAAUGGCACCGAGUUUAUCUCCCUCAGGAUGAGGCAAGCUUAAUUCGAUCGCAAGAGGCUUAAGAGUACCAUCAUCUUUCAAGAAAAGUAGGGUCCUGGUUGCAUAUGUCUUUGUGGAAGUAGCAUUUAUCCGCCUCAGGUAUGGCAUGACUGUAUCAUGGUGAUCUAAUAUGUAUAGCUUCUUGUUCUUGAUUGCCUUCACCACCAUUAAUACAACAAAUGUUCAAUUGUGGGAUUGAUUAAAUUCAACUAAUCCCGACAAGAACAUCAUUGAUUUUGAUUGUAAACUCAGUUGUGAAAGAAACGAAAAAGAGUAGCAUUACCUCAUCUAUGGUCAGUCCAUCUAGUCUAUUCUUUAUAUGUUCUUCACUUAUUUUACUGUUUUGAUCACCAUAAAAUUUGCUGUCUAGAUUGCUUUCUGGAGGGAAUUCCUGCAGUAAAAUUUAGUUUUAGGCAUCAACUUCCUGUCUGUAACGGGUGAAAUUGGAAGGAAACGAAGGUUUGACAUCCAUUAUAAUUUUCCUAAGUCAAUUCUAUACAAACCUUCAUGGCAAACAAUAAGGGAAAAAGUGCUUCAAUACCUCGAGACAACGAAUGAUGACAGGGUUUACACCGGCCAGCAUUUCUCUGCCAAAUUCUUCAUCAGUCCUCCAAGCAGUCUUGCUCUCUGCCCAAUUAUUAGAACAUCACAGUUGCUUGGCAGAAGGAA